Molecule: ribosomal RNA, 269 nt
Filed under: uncultured bacterium
Lineage: Bacteria
Description: partial 16S ribosomal RNA
Rfam family: Bacterial small subunit ribosomal RNA
Source: RNAcentral
GUCCACGCCCUAAACGAUGCGGACUGGACGUUGGGCACACUUCGGUGCUCAGUGUCGAAGCUAACGCGUUAAGUCCGCCGCCUGGGGAGUACGCUCGCAAGAGUGAAACUCAAAGGAAUUGACGGGGCCCGGCACAAGCGGUGGAGUAUGUGGUUUAAUUCGAUGCAACGCGCAGAACCUUAACCUGGUCUUGACAUGUCGAGAACCCUUCCAGAGAUGAGGGGGUGGCCUUCGGGAGGCUCGAACACAGGUGGCUGCAUGGCUGUCGU